CAAAAAAUAGUUUAAUUAGAAUACUA
This 26-nucleotide transfer RNA is filed under the name Pennahia argentata (silver croaker). Its description in RNAcentral is "partial tRNA-Pro". The record is from RNAcentral. Lineage: Eukaryota; Metazoa; Chordata; Actinopteri; Sciaenidae.